GGGCGAAAGCCUGACGCAGCCAUGCCGCGUGGAUGAUGAAGGUCUUAGGAUUGUAAAAUCCUUUCACCGGGGACGAUAAUGACGGUACCCGGAGAAGAAGCCCCGGCUAANUUCGUGCCAGCAGCCGCGGUAAUACGAAGGGGGCUAGCGUUGCUCGGAAUUACUGGGCGUAAAGGGAGCGUAGGCGGGUCGUUAAGUUGGGGGUGAAAGCCCGGGGCUCAACCUNGGAAAUGCCUUCAAUACUGGCGACCUUGAGUGUGGGAGAGGUGAGUGGAACUCCGAGUGUAGAGGUGAAAUUCGUAGAUAUUCGGAAGAACACCAGUGGCGAAGGCGACUCACUGGCCCAUUACUGACGCUGAGGCUCGAAAGCGUGGGGAGCAAACAGGAUUAGAUACCCUGGUAGUCCACGCCNUAAACGAUGAGUNCUAGUNGUNGGCAUGCAUCCANNUCGGUGNCG
Molecule: ribosomal RNA, 457 nt
Filed under: uncultured bacterium
Lineage: Bacteria
Description: bacterial SSU rRNA
Rfam family: Bacterial small subunit ribosomal RNA
Source: RNAcentral